This is a long non-coding RNA of Brachypodium distachyon (stiff brome), 1304 nucleotides long. RefSeq lists it as uncharacterized. The record is from RefSeq and is a predicted model, not a curated record. The transcript has 2 exons. NCBI's taxonomy places the organism in Eukaryota, Viridiplantae, Streptophyta, Magnoliopsida, Poales, Poaceae.
GGCACUUGCGAGUGUUGUAUAUCUGGGGCUCGGAGGGGCCGUUUCGGUACCAAAUCCGAACCACCCCUCCGCCGCCCAAAACCUUCGGGCGGCCGCACCGCCACACUCGCCUCCAUCUCCGACGAGCCCAGCUCCCCCCGCUCCACCGAAAUUGCAGCGUUUCCCCGCCUCGUCCGGUUCCGGUGGUCACCGCGGUGGCCAGGGCGGAAGCGGUAGGCCCUUCGGCCGAGGCACCCACCCCCUCCCCUCGAGGAGACGGCGGAGGAAUGCGCCGCCCGCAUCCGAGCCGAUGGAGCACGGAAGCGAGGGGCCCGCCGCUGCGACUUCUGCAGGGAGGGGGCGGGGGGCUCCUCGGAGGCAGCCUCCAGGAUUCGGAGGCAGAGGCGCCGUCAUUAGGGGAAGAAAGCAGCAGAUUGGGUACCUCGUUGUGGUCCUCCUGCAGAUUUUCGAAUUAAGAUCAAGUGAUCCAAAGAAUUGACAACUAAACAGACAUAACAAAAGGGAAACCGACAUCUAGGGAGAGAAGGACGUCAGCCAAGUCAGAGGAACAGCAUACAACAAACACUACAGAAAGAGAAACUGACAUAUCAUUCUUUGCUAUCACCUCUCCCAGCAGCACGGGCAGCACCUAGUGCAAUCCUCACGCCAGACGAAGCCACCAUCGCAAAUCCCCAUUGAGUCCCAGCAGCUUCAACAGAAAACUUCAGUAUACAGCAAACACCCAGCAAUUCGUUGUAAUGGACACCAUCCUCUAGCCGCAUCAAACACUUCUAGCCGCAUAUGACGCUAUCUAUUUCACAAGGUUACAUAAAAAUCGUUGUCUCGAUGUCACUUUUGUCCCUUGGAUGCACGUCCAAUAGAGAUCACCAGCAUUUGCAUUGUGUUAUGUGUUUUCUACCCAAAUAUCAAUGUGAGAUAUUUGAACCAAAGAUUUACCGGUGGUGAGCCUGGGUCAUUGACUCAUUGGGACCUUACGGGGAGAAAAGGAAUGAAAAGAGAGGAAAUUUAGCGGUUGACACGGAGGAGUGGUGGGAUAUUCCGAAUUUCCGAUAGAUACACAAACUCAAGGAUAGAGCUAACCGAGCCAUCUUCUUCUCCCGUGCUUCAACCUCCAGAGGGGUAUUGAUGCCUACUGCUUGUACUCGCAGUCUCGCAGAGCCAUAACAAAGAUAUUUUCUUUCUGUAGUCACCUGAAAUUUCGGGCUGCUUUCUUCUCGCGAAAUACGUACCCUCUGAUCCUAAAUUGUUGUCGAAAUAUUACAUGUACCUAGACGCUUUUUAAAAAUAGAUACAUUCAUAUUUGA